Molecule: ribosomal RNA, 393 nt
Filed under: uncultured bacterium
Lineage: Bacteria
Description: partial 16S ribosomal RNA
Rfam family: Bacterial small subunit ribosomal RNA
Source: RNAcentral
AUACGGAGGAUCCGAGCGUUAUCCGGAUUUAUUGGGUUUAAAGGGUGCGCAGGCGGGAGAUUAAGUCGGCGGUGAAAUUUUGCAGCUCAACUGUAAAAGUGCCUUCGAAACUGGUUUCCUUUGGUGUAGAUGAAGGUGGCGGAAUUUGGUGUGUAGGGGUGGAAUGCAUAGAUAUCACGAGGAACUCCGAUUGCGCAGGCAGCUUACCAAACUACUACUGACGCUCAGGCACGAAGGCGUGGGGAUCAAACAGGAUUAGAUACCCUGGUAGUCCACGCAGUAAACGAUGAUUACUAGCUGUUUGCGAUACAAUGUAAGCGGCUGAGCGAAAGCGUUAAGUAAUCCACCUGGGGAGUACGUUCGCAAGAAUGAAACUCAAAGGAAUUGACGGGG